ACAGCCCGAUCUUCGGUCCUACCGGUUGAAUGGUCCGGUGAAGUGUUCGGACAGCGGCGACGGGGGUGGUUUGCCGCCCCCGAUGUCGCGAGAAUUCCAUUGAACCUUAUCAUUUAGAGGAAGGAGAAGUCGUAACAAGGUUUCCGUAGGUGAACCUGCGGAAG
Triticum aestivum (bread wheat) is the source of this 164-nucleotide non-coding RNA. NCBI's taxonomy places the organism in Eukaryota, Viridiplantae, Streptophyta, Magnoliopsida, Poales, Poaceae. The record is from Rfam.